This 253-nucleotide ribosomal RNA is filed under the name uncultured prokaryote. RNAcentral's name for it is "partial 16S ribosomal RNA". It matches the Rfam family "Bacterial small subunit ribosomal RNA", at positions 524 to 776 of the family's 1533-position model. The record is from RNAcentral.
UACGUAGGUGGCAAGCGUUGUUCGGAAUUAUUGGGCGUAAAGGGCGCGUAGGCGGUUUGCUAAGUCAGUUGUGAAAGCCCGGGGCUCAACCCCGGAGGGUCGGCUGAUACUGGUGGACUAGAGUACGGAAGAGGUAGCUGGAAUUCCCGGUGUAGCAGUGAGAUACGUAGAGAUGUGGAGGAACACCAAUGGCGAAGGCAGCCCCCUGGGUCGAUACUGACGCUCAUGCACGAAAGCGUGGGUAGCAAACAGG